UGGAUCACCUCCUAACAGGGAGACAACAAAAUGUUAAAUAUUAAUUUUGUCACCUUAGGUCGAUCGGUAUCUCACAUCCUUAAAUUUAUUAAGGACUUUAUUUCCUAAGUUUUUUCUAGGUCACACCCAUUACUUUUCCUGGGCCAUUAGCUCAGGUGGUUAGAGCGCACCCCUGAUAAGGGUGAGGUCCCUGGUUCAAGUCCAGGAUGGCCCAUAUCUCUAUGUUGGGGGUAUAGCUCAGUUGGUAGAGCGCCUGCUUUGCAAGCAGGAUGUCAGCGGUUCGAGUCCGCUUACCUCCACUGAUCACCACCUCUUCCAUAAUUUAUAGAAGGGAAAUGUUUUGAGUUGUGAUCAAAUUCUGAACGAAUCUAGCUUCCUAAUCAAAUUUAUUAAGAUGCUGGACUCAUUGAAUUAAUUUCAUUGUUUUCAGAGAACCUUGACAACUGCAUAGAUUAUUUUUAAAGACAAUAAGCAUCUUUAAUGAUGCAGAUUUAUUAUUUGUGCGAAUGCAUUAAUAACAAUUCUAUUAAGCUGAUGCUUCAAUUAUUGAAGUUAUUGGUCAAGCUACAAAGGGCUCACGGAGGAUACCUAGGCACACAGAGGCGAUGAAGG
This 612-nucleotide transfer RNA is filed under the name uncultured Prochlorococcus sp. RNAcentral's name for it is "partial contains 16S ribosomal RNA, 16S-23S ribosomal RNA intergenic spacer, and 23S ribosomal RNA". The stretch from base 227 to 299 matches the Rfam family "tRNA". The record is from RNAcentral. Lineage: Bacteria; Bacillati; Cyanobacteriota; Cyanophyceae; Synechococcales; Prochlorococcaceae.